Molecule: long non-coding RNA, 298 nt
Organism: Heterocephalus glaber (naked mole-rat)
Lineage: Eukaryota; Metazoa; Chordata; Mammalia; Rodentia; Bathyergidae
Source: RefSeq, a predicted model, not a curated record
UGAAGAUUGAACUCAGGGUUUUAUACUGAGCUACAUUCCCAGCCCUUCCUAAGGGGUUGAUAAAUUGGUUGAACUACUUUGACAUCACUGUGGACAACAGGAAUCAGACCAAAAUGCACUUGAAUGGUUAAGCGUGUGGUUACAAGGAAGAAGCUUUUCUGGAAAGAAAGCUGAGGGGAAAGGACAGUUCAUGGAUGGGCAGGAGAAAGGACACAUGCCAACCCUGUGUAACACCACUGUCUCCUCUUCAGGUCCCAGCUGACCAGGUGCACAUAGUACAGGGCAAAUAAAAUCCUCA